Molecule: long non-coding RNA, 3356 nt
Filed under: Sus scrofa (pig)
Lineage: Eukaryota; Metazoa; Chordata; Mammalia; Artiodactyla; Suidae
Description: lncRNA (ENSSSCG00000056397.1)
Source: RNAcentral
UUUUUUUUUUUUUUUUUUUGGUCUUUUUGCUAUUUCUUGGGCCGCUCCCAUGGCAUAUGGAGGUUCCCAGGCUAGGGGUCCAAUCGGAGCUGUAGUCUCCGGCCUAUGCCAGAGCCACAGCAACGCGGGAUCCAAGCCGCGUCUGCAAACUACACCACAGCUCACGGCAAUGCCGGAUUGUUAACCCACUGAGCAAGUGCAGGGACUGAACCCGCAACCUCAUGGUUCCUAGUCAGAUUCGUUAACCACUGCGUCACGACGGGAACUCCAAUUUGUGGUAUUUUUGUUUCCUGUUGCUGUCUUUUCUUUUCUGCCUAGAGAAGUUCCUUUAGUAUUUGUUGUAAGGCUGGUUUAGUGCUGCUGAAUUCUCUCAGCUUUUGCUUAUCUGUGAAGGCUUUUAUUUCUCCUUCAAAUCUGAAUGAGAGCCUUGCUGGGUAAUCUUGCCUGGAGGUUUUUUCCUUUCAUCACCUUAAGUAUGUCAUGCCACUCCCUUCUGGCCUGCAGAGUUUCUGCUGAAAAAUCUGCCGAUAACUUUACUGGGGUUCCCUUGUGUGUUAUUUGUUUCUUUUCCCUAGAUGCUUUCAAGAUUUUCUCUUGUCUUUAAUUUUGGUUUGAUUAAUAAGUGUCUCGGGGUGUUCCUCCUUGGGUUUGUUUUAUAUGGUACUCAUUGCACUUCCUGGCCUUGAGUGAGUGGUUCCUUUCCCAUGUUAGGGAAGUUUUCAGCUAUUAUCUCUUGGAAUAUUUUUUCUGUCCCCUUCUCUCUCUCUUCUUCUUCUGGCACCCCUAUAAUAUGGAUGUUGGUAUGUUUAACGUUGUCCCAGAGUUCUCUGAGACUCUCUUCAUUCGUUUUCAAUCUUUUUUCUCUUUUCUGUUCUGCAUCCAUAAUUUCCACUAAUCUGUCCUCCACCUUGCUUAUUCAUUCUUCUGCCUCUGUAUUCUGCUGUUGGCUGCUUCUAGUGAAUUUUUUAUUUCAGUUAUUGUAUUUUGCAUCUCUUCUUGUUUAAGUUUUAUAUCUUAUAUCUCUUUGCUCAGUGUAAGUUAUCCAUCUUUGCCUCCAGUUUAUUUCCAGUGUCUUGCAUCAUCUUCAGCAUCAACAAUCUAAAAUCUUUUUCCUGGAGGCGGAAAAUCUCCUUAUCACUUGGCUGAUUUUCUGGGGUUUUUUAUUUCUCCCUUGUUUGAGUUAUAGUUCUCUGUCUUUUCGUUUUUAUAGGUUUUUGGUGUGGUGACCUUUUUACAGAUAAUAGAAUUGUAGCCUCUCUUACUUCUGGUGUCUUCCCCCCUUGUGGCUGAGGUUGGUAUGGGUUCUUGCUGUAGUCUUCCUGAUGGGAGGGGCUGAUGCCUACCACUGGUAGGUGGAUCUGAUUCUAAUCCCUUUGGUGGGUGGGGCUUAGUCUCUGGAUGGGAUUAGAGGCAACUUUGUGCCUUAGAGGUCUUUAGGCAGCCUGUUACUGACCGCAGGGCUGUGGUCCCACCUAGAUUGUUGUUUGCUCUGGGGUUUCUCAGCACUGAUGGGUGGGGCCAGAUUUUCCCAAAUUGGCCACCUCCAGAGAAAGGCAGCUGCUGAAUAUUCCCGAGAGCUUUGCUUCCAAUGUCCUUCCCUCACAACAAGCCACAUUCACCCCUGUUUUCCCAGGAUGUCCUCCAAGAACUGCAGUCAGGUUUGACCCAGAUUCCUAUGGAGACUUUGCUUUGUCCUGGGACCUAGUGCAUGUGAAAGUCUUUGUGUGCCUUUUAAGAAUGGGGUCUCCGUUUCCCCAGUCCUGUGGAACUCCUGUGCACAAGCCCCUCUGGCCUUCAAUGUCAGAUGCUCCAGGGGCUCUUUCUCCCAGUUCCAGAUCCCCACAUGUGAGAGUUUGAUGUGGGGCUUGGAACUCUCACUCCUGUAGGUGAGUCUCUGGGAACCAGUUAGUUUCCAGUCUGUUUAAUAUUCUUAAGCUUUGCCAGGAAACAAACUAGAUCAUUGAUGUUGGAAUUACAUGUGCAAGAAACUAAUUUUUACUUUAACAGGAACAUCCCUAUGAAACAAUGAAUAAUACCAAAUUACCAUUGAUGAGAGAGGCAAGUUGUAUUGGCUUAAAUGUUACCUGUUGUAUUUAAAGGCACUGGUGUUUAGACUGUCCCAUGUCUGUUCUCCCAAGGCUGGCUUUGUCUGCUUACACCAGGUUCACAUGCAAUAACACAUUAGCAUAAAAGAAAUUGGAAUCUUGACUUUAGAGGUUAUGAUAAGUUUCAUACAGCAAACCGUGAGUAUUGUGUCCUGGUUCUGAGAUCUAACUGCCCAGAUUUGAACCUGGAGUAGGCCAUUUAUUUGCUAAGUAACAGUGGGGAAAUUACUUCACUGUUCUGAACAUGUUUCCUCUUCUGUAAAAUUGACGUAAUAACACCUGUCUCAAAAUAUUAUUGUGAAAAUUCAAUGAGUUAAUACAUGUCAAGUACUUAGAACAGUUCCUGGCCUUUGGUGAAUGUUUAAUAAGUACUAGCUAUUAUUACAUGAUAAGUAUCAGUGAAAUAUGUAUGGAUUUUUAUGUGGAUAGACUCAAGUCUAAUUCAUCCAUUUGUUCCUGCUGUGAUGCAGUCAAUUUAGAAGCAGUUUUAAACCUGACCCAAAUUAGGUAUUACUCACACUGUAAAUGUUGGUUAGGCAUUUGGUUAUGGUUUCAAAUUAUGCUUAUGGAACUGAAAUAUAGGAAACUAUCUGGGUUAUAACAAUAAAAGAUAUUAAAAAUAAUUUUAAGGUAAUCUAUUUGUAGGAAUAAAUUAUGGCAUAUUUUCCACUUUGAAUUAUAGAACUAAAUGUCUACAAUCAUAUUAGACAAAAAAAGUCAAACUCAAUAUUUCUAGAAUAAAAAAAUUGUAAAAAUAAAAACAAAACAUUCAUGAAUGUAUAUUUGGGCAUAAUCAUUCAUUUCAUGAGUCAAAUAUUAAAUAAGCUUCAUCUUCCUAAGCUUUUUUACCUCAGAGAUACCUGGGUUUCUUAAAUAUGAGUUUAAACAUAUGAGUUAGGACUCUUAGUUGCCUGCAAAAAAAGUACAAGUCAUAGCAGUCUAAUCCAAAAAUAAAUGAUUUAUUCACUCACACAACUCAGAAAUGCAAGGGACUGGAGUUCCCAUUAUAGUUUAGCGUGUUAAGAAUCUAACUAGUAUCCAUGAGGGUGUGGGUUCCAUGUCUAGCCUAGAUCAGUGGGUUAAGGUUCUGGCAUUGCAGUGAGCUGCAGUGUAGGUUACAGAUGUGGCUUGGAUCCGGCAUUGCUUUGGCUGUGGCAGAGGCCUGUGGCUAUAGCUCUGAUUCAACCCCUGGCCUGGGAACUUCCAUAUGCUGCAAGUGUGGCCCUAAAAAGACCAGAAAAAAAAAAAAAA